Molecule: ribosomal RNA, 914 nt
Filed under: uncultured marine archaeon
Lineage: Archaea
Description: bacterial SSU rRNA
Rfam family: Archaeal small subunit ribosomal RNA
Source: RNAcentral
UUCCGGUUGAUCCUGCCGGACCUGACUGCUAUCGGAUUGAUACUAAGCCAUGCGAGUCUUUGCAGUAAUGCAAGGCAUACGGCUCAGUAACACGUAGUCAACUUACCCUAUGGACGAGGAUAAUCUCGGGAAACUGAGCAUAAUACUCGAUAGAUCAUAAUGCCUGGAAUGGUUUAUGGUUAAAAUGAUUCAUCGCCAUAGGAUGGGACUGCGGCCUAUCAGCUUGUUGGUGAGGUAAUGGCCCACCAAGGCGAUUACAGGUACGGGCUCUGAGAGGAGAAGCCCGGAGAUGGGUACUGAGACAAGGACCCAGGCCCUAUGGGGCGCAGCAGGCGAGAAAACUUUGCAAUGUGCGAAAGCACGACAAGGUUAAUCCGAGUGAUUUCUGCUAAAGAAAUCUUUUGCAAGUCAUAAAACCACUAGUGAAUAAGGGGUGGGCAAGUUCUGGUGUCAGCCGCCGCGGUAAAACCAGCACCUCAAGUGGUCAGGAGGAUUAUUGGGCCUAAAGCAUCCGUAGCCGGCUCUGUAAGUUUUCGGUUAAAUCCAUGUGCUCAACACAUGGGCUGCCGAAAAUACUGCAUAGCUAGGGAGUGGGAGAGGUAGACGGUACUCGGUAGGAAGGGGUAAAAUCCUUUGAUCUAUCGAUGACCACCUGUGGCGAAGGCGGUCUACCAGAACACGUUCGACGGUGAGGGAUGAAAGCUGGGGGAGCAAACCGGAUUAGAUACCCGGGUAGUCCCAGCUGUAAACGAUGCAGACUCGAUGAUGCAUUGGCAUAUAGCCAGUGCAGUGUCGCAGGGAAGCCGUUAAGUCUGCCGCCUGGGAAGUACGUACGCAAGUAUGAAACUUAAAGGAAUUGGCGGGGGAGCACCACAAGGGGUGAAGCCUGCGGUUCAAUUGGAUUCAACGCCGGG